RNAcentral lists this ribosomal RNA (100 nucleotides) under uncultured bacterium. Its description in RNAcentral is "partial 16S ribosomal RNA". It matches the Rfam family "Bacterial small subunit ribosomal RNA", at positions 1384 to 1482 of the family's 1533-position model. The record is from RNAcentral.
CACACACCGCCCGUCAAGCGAUGGAAGCCGGAGGUACCCGAAGCCGGUGCUUCAACCCGCAAGGGGAUAGCCGUCGAAGGUAAAUCUGGUGACUGGCGCU